Molecule: long non-coding RNA, 1063 nt
Organism: Oncorhynchus tshawytscha (Chinook salmon)
Lineage: Eukaryota; Metazoa; Chordata; Actinopteri; Salmoniformes; Salmonidae
Source: Ensembl
UAAGGUUAGGGUUAGUGCUAGGGUUAGGUUUUGAAUAAGGGUUAGGAUAAGGGCUAAGGUUAGGGUUAGUGUUAGGGUUAGUGCUAGGGUUAGGUUUUGAAUAAGGGUUAGGAUUUGGGCUAAGGUUAGGGUUAGUGCUAGGGUUAGGUUUUUGAAUAAGGGUUAGGAUAAGGGCUAAGGUUAGGGUUAGUGUUAGGGUUAGGUUUAGAAUAAGGGAUAGGAUAAGGGCUAAGGUUAGGGUUAGUGCUAGGGUUAGGUUUUGAAUAAGGGUUAAGAUAAGUGCUACGGUUAGGGUUAGUGCUAGGGUUAGGUUUUGAAUAAGGGUUAGGAUAAGGGCUAAGAUUAGGGUUAGUGCUAGUGUUAGGUUUAGAAUAAGGGUUAGGAUAAGGGCUAAGGUUAGGGUUAGUGUUAGGGUUAGGUUUAGAAUAAGGGUUAGGAUAAGGGCUAAGGUUAGGGUUAGUGUUAGUGUUAGGUUUAGAAUAAGGGUUAGGAUAAGGGCUAAGGUUAGGGUUAGUGUUAGGAUAAGGGCUAAGGUUAGGGUUAGGGCUAGUGCUAGGCCUAGGGUUAGUAGAUAAUUUGCUGAAAUGUUACUGAUAGAUAGUCUGUGUUACAGAGAGUUUCAACAGUCCCCCUAUAGACAGUCUUCUCAGCAGCAUACAUACAGCCACUAUUGAGUUGAUGACUGAAGGAUGAACAGAAUGCCCAUCAAAAAACAUGCAUGUGGAGAACAACAGAUCUGGGUCCUUCUGAAGACUAGCCGACACUUUUGAAAUCGCUGGUGAUCACGAUUUCCACUGUCUACACACCAGGUAGCCUCCAUCUUCAAUAUUACCAGAUAGAGGUGAGGGAGAGAGCUGGGUCAACCAGGCUAGAUGGUAUAAAGAGAAGUAGUCAAAUAAUGGGGAGCAAGAAAGACAGACACACAAAGGGAUUAACACAUGCAGAAAGAUAACUAUCGAGAGAUAACCUGCUAAACUAUUGGCAUAUCAAAUCAAAUCAAAUGUAUUUAUAUAGCCCUUCGUACAUCAGCUGAUAUCUCAAAGUGCCUUAACAGAAACCCAGC